GUACUUGUAGCUCAGCCGGAUAGAGCAACGGCCUUCUAAGCCGUGGGUCGGGGGUUCGAGUCCCUUCAAGUACG
This 74-nucleotide transfer RNA is filed under the name Clostridiales bacterium. RNAcentral describes it as "tRNA-Arg". It matches the Rfam family "tRNA". Rfam says of the family: Transfer RNA (tRNA) molecules are approximately 80 nucleotides in length. Their secondary structure includes four short double-helical elements and three loops (D, anti-codon, and T loops). Lineage: Bacteria; Bacillati; Bacillota; Clostridia; Eubacteriales. The record is from RNAcentral.